CAGUAGCCGCGGGAAUACGUAGGUGGCAAGCGUUGUCCGGAAUUAUUGGGCGUAAAGGGCUCGCAGGCGGUUUCUUAAGUCUGAUGUGAAAGCCCCCGGCUCAACCGGGGAGGGUCAUUGGAAACUGGGAAACUUGAGCGCAGAAGAGGAGAGUGGAAUUCCACGUGUAGCGGUGAAAUGCGUAGAGAUGCGGAGGAACACCAGUGGCGAAGGCGACUCUCUGGUCUGUAACUAACGCUGAGAAGCGAAAGCGUGGGGAGCGAACAGGAUUAGAUACCCCUGUAGUCCCUGUCUCUUAUAA
This 301-nucleotide ribosomal RNA is filed under the name uncultured bacterium. RNAcentral's name for it is "partial 16S ribosomal RNA". It matches the Rfam family "Bacterial small subunit ribosomal RNA", at positions 509 to 809 of the family's 1533-position model. The record is from RNAcentral.